AUUUGCCUUAUCAAUUCUUCUGGAAAAAUUUUUGCAGCUUCGAGGUUGAACAGGCCUGAAAUCUGGGAAAUGCCUCAGGGUGGUGUAAAUGAAGGCGAAGAUCUCAAAACUGCAGCCAAGAGAGAACUUGUUGAAGAAACAGGAGUAGUUUCUGCAGAAAUUAUUGCAGAGCUACCCUACUGGCUUACUUACGAUUUCUCGCCCGAAGUCAGCACUAGACUCAG
RNAcentral lists this unclassified non-coding RNA (224 nucleotides) under Hevea brasiliensis (rubber tree). Lineage: Eukaryota; Viridiplantae; Streptophyta; Magnoliopsida; Malpighiales; Euphorbiaceae. The record is from RNAcentral.